AUACGUAUGGGGCAAGCGUUAUCCGGAUUUAUUGGGCGUAAAGAGCGCGUAGGCGGAUUAUUAAGCGAGAUGUGAAAACUGGGGGCUCAACCCGCAGCUUGCAUCUCGAACUGGUAGUCUUGAGUUUGGUAGAGGAGUGUGGAAUUCCCAGUGUAGCGGUGGAAUGCGCAGAUAUUGAGAGGAACACCAGUUGCGAAGGCGGCACUCUGGGCCAACACUGACGCUGAGGCGCGAAAGCUAGGGGAGC
This 247-nucleotide ribosomal RNA is filed under the name uncultured bacterium. Its description in RNAcentral is "partial 16S ribosomal RNA". It matches the Rfam family "Bacterial small subunit ribosomal RNA", at positions 523 to 769 of the family's 1533-position model. The record is from RNAcentral.